Molecule: long non-coding RNA, 822 nt
Organism: Astatotilapia calliptera (eastern happy)
Lineage: Eukaryota; Metazoa; Chordata; Actinopteri; Cichliformes; Cichlidae
Source: Ensembl
GAAAGAUGCAGAACUGAGAUGGGUAAAAGAGGAACUCGAGAAACUCCUUCAAGAGAAGAAAACUCACCUUAUGUUGUUAGAGGAAGAAAAGCAGCGAUCACGCAUACAGGUGAGGAGGAGAACAGUGCAAUAAAGAGCUGCUCUGUGAUGCAGAAAUCAGUAUAUUUUAUUUACGGGGAAAAAAUUAAAAGAUGAAUUUAAUGCAUGUCUGCUGUGUUAUCAUUUGUUCUUUAAAUGUGCGCCUCUGUGCAAAUGUUUAGACAGAACAACUGGUGAACCAGCAGAUAAUGAUUGAUCGCCUUCGUGGCGAACUCAUGACCUUUCGGGGGACAGCCUCAGGGGCAACAGUGGAAGUGGGGGGGUCUGAGUACUCAGGCAAGAGACCCCCCAGUGUCCCUCUGAUCACACACAGCUGCAUGUGGAGGCCUCCCAGGAAGUGUGCCUAUAGACUGGAGAGGGUAAUGGCAGCUUUUAAAAUCCAUGGCCAACUCGUGCUGGCUGAAAUCGAGGAAAAAGAUGACGUGUACUGCCCGCUCUUAAGUGGGUCUGGGUGAGUGAAGCUUUUUGUUAGUGUAAAGCUUUUUAAUGACAUAUUUAAUCCAUGAUAUAUCUUAUAUAGCAUGUCUCAGUUUUUCUACAUGAAGAAAAAUAUAGAAAAGGUUCUGGUAGACAGGUGAUGUAUUUAUGGAGAUGUCAGGAACAGUUUCUGUAGUAGACCUCCUGAUAUCCAUAAAUAAUUGUGUCCUUUCUGCAAUUUUCUGUUUCACAGGGAAACAAGAAAGGCAAGUAAGGAUCAGAGGCAGAUGGAAAAUGCCUGAAAAC